AUCCUUUCUUGGUCUUUUGGCUAAGAUCAAGUGUAGUAUCUGUUUUUAUUAGUUUGAUCUCUGAUGUAUUCUCUAAAUGAGAAUGUUGUCCUAAAGAGAUUUUUAGAGCAGGAAGCUGGAAUAGGGGCUUGUUUUUUUUCUGCUCUGUAUAUCAACUUGGUAUUGUAAUACUUCCAGAAUUAGUAUUCUUGUU
Molecule: small nuclear RNA, 193 nt
Organism: Neoarius graeffei (lesser salmon catfish)
Lineage: Eukaryota; Metazoa; Chordata; Actinopteri; Siluriformes; Ariidae
Product: U2 spliceosomal RNA
Exons: 1
Source: RefSeq, a predicted model, not a curated record